Syngnathus typhle (broad-nosed pipefish) is the source of this 1815-nucleotide long non-coding RNA. RefSeq lists it as uncharacterized. The record is from RefSeq and is a predicted model, not a curated record. The transcript has 7 exons. Lineage: Eukaryota; Metazoa; Chordata; Actinopteri; Syngnathiformes; Syngnathidae.
CUUGAAAGCCUGUAAGUCAUUUAAUGGUCCCUCCACUCUACAUCUGAAUUGUGACAACAAAACAAAUUCGUCUUACCGCUCCCCUUUCACUUCGAACUUGUUUAAAUGGAGAACUUCAGAGCUUGGGCGAGUUGACGUUGAGGGAGUCGGGGGGGCCCAUCUGAGUGGUCCUCGUCAUGGGACCUUUUCACCAGCUCUUUGCUGACACAGACUGUUCCAUUGAAAUAACCUUUCUGAAAUGAUAUGAUUGCAUGUUCAAAAUGAUCCAGAUUUUUUUCAGUAUGUCCUCCGGUGCCUUCCGUGUCUGCCGAACCAACCCGGGGCAGAGCUUGUUGGAAUACAAUGGACACCGCUACAUAAAAGAUACUCACACGACGGAGCAGGCGUAGCAGCCUUGCCUGCUGCUCUCGCGGAUGAGGAACGUUCCGGGAUCUUUCCCCUGAAGCAUCUCCUCGGCCUGCGUCCUGCUCAGUUCGCCGACAAACCAACUCGUCUCGUCCUGAUGGGGAGCACCAGAAGUCAUUGCACCGCAGUAGUCACCUGCGAAGUCUUGGUGAAGGCUUCGUAAAGACGAUCAAACUCCUUCGACUUCUCUUCAUACUGACAAUGGACCUCUUUGAGCUUUCUUCCGGCCACAUCGACAGUGUUCUCCUUCACCUGAUGCUAAAACAAACCCAAUCGCUUAAGAUUCCUGACCAUUGCGAAACUGAAAUGCGGAACGCACUGACCUGCUGGAAGCGAGACACCGGGUGUGUGAGCAUCAGGUCCAACGAGGCGUUGUAUUCCACUAACGGGUGGUGCCGAUAGUGCCAAAUGAGCUCCACCACCGAAGUGAAGGUGAGCGGGUCCGAGAAGCCGUACUUGCCGUCGCGGUGGUAGAUCUUGAUCAAUUUAUUGUGGCCGUCUUUCCUGUCAAUCGCAAUUUGCCCGAUGAGUGUCGAGCGGGGAAACAAAAGCGCUUUGCUGUUAUUUCCUUCAAGCCGUUUCACCUUAAUGUCAGCGUAAAUUCUCCCUGCAGCUUGGUGGACGCGUCGCGUACUAGGAAGGAGCCGUCAGGUGUGUCACGGAGCUUCUCGUUGACCUCGUCCCUGAGGGGGAAAUCGGUUAACAGAUUAAACACCGCGCGCCGCAUUUCAACAGACAAGCGAUGGAAGGGGAGAGAUGUUCGAAUUAGCCGCCCUGCUCUUUUACCUGGUUACGUCGCCCCAGUACCAUUCGGCAUCCUGUAGCGAGUCGGACUGCGGGGAAAGGCAGUUAUUGUUCAUGGCGGAAGACGUUGGCUUGGUUGACCUGGGAGGGAGAGCUGUUGGGGAUGGAAACGAGACAACGUCAUUGGAAAAAGCGCGCCGCAAUCACAUCGAUCUAAAUACUAGCUCCAAGAUUACAGUCGUGUGUGCCUCGCCACGGUGAAAGUUUUCGAUAAGUAGAUGGCGAAACAACCAACAACGCUAUUGUCCUGCAUCUAGAUUGCCCGCAUUGCAACCAUGCGAGAUCCAGCAGGCGUCUUACUCAACAAAAACGGUAUCAAUCCAAUCGCCCAAUGUGCCGACACGCUUCGCGAGGCCUCUUCGAGCCAGAGACCCCCCCCACACACACACACACCUCCUACUCAUGCAAGUCUGUCGCGCCCUUGCCUGGUGGCUUGACGGGGACAAGCCCAGGCAUGUUUCCAAAAGAUGUCACUUGCCAAACCAUGACUGACACACCCACGGGGUGGGGUGGGGGACUGUGUUGCACGAGCGCGUGUUAUGACUAAUCCCCAAUUUCAGUAUUAUUUGGCACUAUUGUGGUCUGCAGUCUAUUUUUGGACGAGAA